GGAAGCAGGUCACAGGUCAUAUCCAGCAAAGAUGUUUCAACCCUGACACGACUCCCCAAACUUACAAGAAAAAAAAAAAGUGACCAAUAGAGCAGGAAGUAAAAAAACAUCUGUCCUCUAAGAAAGAGCUGAAGAUGUAUGAAAAGAGCAGCAUGUAGUGACCUUUGACCCUUCAGAUCAGUGAUGAUAGAAAAACCAGCAGCUCGCUUGGAACACAAGAGCAUAGUAAAGAGUUCAAACUCAUGGUGUCGCACACUAAUCUGUUUCAAAAUGUUUCACUUUGAGACGAAUCUAUAGAAUAUUUAUAGUUCCACUUUCUGAAAUAAGAGACAAAAUAAUGAAAGUUUUCCACACUAUUUUCAUUUUUUUGCACCUCCAGGUUACACAAAGCACUGAGUCAGGUUUAUAUAAGGCAUCUUCCAAAAGUAUGUACAAACCCCAAGACUUUUACAUAGUAUAUAACCACAAACUAUGUGUUUUUGUUGGGAGUUCAUGAACAACACAAAUCAGUUCAAUAUUAAGAAGAGGAAGGGUACUGAUACAUGGUCUGUGUUUCUUACAUUACUUCCAGUCGGAAGUAACAAGUACUCAAAUUAGUAAUGAGAUUACUUUAAGCUAGGGAUUUUCUAAUCAGGUUUUAUCCUGUCGAUCAUUGAUACCGAUCACACAGAUUGUUUUUUUUAAUUGUUUGAGAAAUACUACUGGCUGAAACGGAAACAUAAGUCACUUGAAUUUUGACGACAAAAAUCAAACUUGCACAACAACGCAGCAGGAUAGCUGAAAUCCUGACUGUAAGGCUCUCAGCAGUCUAAAGUCAAAUAAAUCUCAAAACGUUGUCCAUAUCAAAUAAUGGUAAAUUAAGAAAGGAAUCAUUCCAAGUCAAAUCCAGGUAGCAUUGUUGAUAGCUAACUUCUGUGCAAGAGGAAAUUCUGUUGCACAGUAUGAAAAACAAAAAAAAUUAAUAAUUUAUAAAUGAAUAGAAAUAAUGAAUCAGGGCUUUUUUUCCAUGCCCAAGAGGGGGACAGGAGGUGUACAUCUGGUUAGUCCAGGGAGGUUGCAGUUCUGGAAUAUUACAGCACUGGAAGAUAACGUGUUCCUGGUAGCUUCACGUUUGAUUAAUUGUGUAUUAUUGUGCUCACAGUGCAGGAUUCUCAGAAAAUUAGCUUUCACAGAGGUACAGGUGAAACUGCUGCAAUAACAGCUCUCAAACCGCCAAGUUUGAGUGAAAGCCGGCAUGUGUGAUGUCUGUGCCGUGGUUCAACACUUCAGAGGUGCAGACUGGGAACGAAGCGGCCAACGCGCAGAGGUGCUUUUAGUGCACGCUCCAGGCCUCGCGCCCAGUUCCGUCCAUCAACUGUUAACUCAUCUUUGAUAUCACUGUUACUGGUGUAUAAAAAAACCGGCCAAUAUCUACAGUAAAGAAACAAACUACACUAACCCUGGCAAACAAGGGGCAGGGAGGACAAGUAAAGCUAGGCAUCCCACUGGGGGAAACCCCCGUAAAAUGGCAGCUCUGGCGCAGCAAUGGAAGAGCAAAAGUGAAUAUUUAAAUCAGUCACACUGAUUGUCAUGGAGGAUUAGAUGUCUGCCGAGGCUGUUGUCCCCGUGAGGCGAGCUAAAUGGGUCAGACAGCUGCUUUGAGAUUUGUGCAGUGACAAAACAUUUUCCCCGCAAGAUCCAUGCUGCAGCCUUCCUGCGCACAGUGUGCAAAAACAUGUGCCAGCUCAGCUCCCAUUGGUUUACUACCCAACUUGUCCAUCACAGCCCAGUGCUGCUUGUUCCCUGUGUCUUUACGUCUUUAGUGUUUUCCCCUGGCUUCAUAUCGCUGAAAGGUCUCUGGUGGAUCUGAAUUAAAAUUUUGCCAAAACCCAAGGCCCACCUCCACCUUAAUUUUGAUUGGCUAGUAAGCCUGUCUCAUGGGAUUGGAAAUGAAAGCCAAAAAACCCCCUUUGAAAACUAGAUGCAUUCUUUUUUUACAGCAAAUGUGCAAAAUCAUUUUAAAAUCUUUGGAUCUACAAUGAAUAACAUCCCAUUAC
Molecule: long non-coding RNA, 2036 nt
Organism: Poecilia latipinna (sailfin molly)
Lineage: Eukaryota; Metazoa; Chordata; Actinopteri; Cyprinodontiformes; Poeciliidae
Exons: 2
Source: RefSeq, a predicted model, not a curated record